This is a long non-coding RNA of Stegostoma tigrinum, 8792 nucleotides long. RefSeq lists it as uncharacterized. Lineage: Eukaryota; Metazoa; Chordata; Chondrichthyes; Orectolobiformes; Stegostomatidae. The record is from RefSeq and is a predicted model, not a curated record. The transcript has 4 exons.
UCGUGAGGUUGUUGGGAUGAAGCAGCGCAUAGAUUUGGGUUUAUGGGGUGUGGUUGCCAAAUGCCUUAUGUUUGUAAGUGCUCAUGUGCGUUUAUCCGCGCCACUGUGUCUGUGCGCUUUUCCCCUACUUUUACUGACUGGUUGUACUUGUCCGAAUAUCUGCUUCUCACCGUUAGUCCAAAAAAGCUCAGCCUCCGCAAUGCUACCAUUGGCUCUGUCACAGCCCCAAGCGUUCUGACAUGUCGCUAACUCCUGUUUGGUUAAUUAAGUUUUCAAUCAGCAGACAGAGGGUGAUAAGACAUCGGAUUGAUAAUUCAUCGAAGCCCGUCCUCUAUUAUCGCACGAAUGGGAGGGACGCUGAGAUCUUUUCCUAAGCAUGUACAAUUUAUGAGAUGUUGUGGUUUCUGUAACGAAAUAUAAGUGAGCUCCCUAGAGAUCUGAAAAAGUCUUGAUUCCCGAGAUGUCUCUUUUUUAACUCCUGUAAUUAUUUCAACAUCAAUGGUUAAGGGUAGCUCAAGCUGCUUCGUUAUAACGACUGGAUUUAUAAAUUGUUUGAACAAAAUGACCUGGUUAAGGGGGAUUCUGUCGAAAUGUAAACCAAGUUUAUGGAGUUUCACAGCAAAAUCUCCUCCAUUCCUGUCCGAGGGAAGUUCUGUGCUCACUGCCAAAAGUUUAUCCAAAGCUGAAGCCAGAAAUCAUUCUAUUUUUUUCAAUAUAAGAAUUCGAUAAAUCAUUUUUCUUAAUGUUGCAACAUACAAGUUAAAAGAAUACCCAGGAUGGAUAUAAAAUGGCGAAAAUUGAGUCAAACUCCUGCCUCACUCGCUUACAAGGAACAAUUGAUUCUAAUAACGCUGCCUCUUUUUACUUGGAAUAAAUUCUGACUAUGGUAGACCGAUGACCUAAUUGUGGAAACUCUUGUCGAGAGGUUUAUUGAUCUGACAGAAUGAAGGACUUUAUUUAACAUCAGCAAAGAAGGAUGAAACACAUGCUGGAUACAGUUCUGUGAGCAUCAGUAUAUUUUGGCACCACAUCUAAGCAGCCAUACUUCAUUUCUAGCCAACCUCAUGGAGUGCAACAACAUCAGACAAACUCUCAGCUCCAAUCCCUGUGGUGAGAGAAUGGAACAUCUACAGGAGAUACACUUUGGAGUCGCAAAGAAACAGGAAUGGCUCCAAAAUGGCUGUAGUUCUCUUUGAAGCCAAAGGUGGUCCUUGCCUGGCACUCGUAAGAGUACUCUCCACCCCUGCAGUUCCUAUGAUGUUAUCUUACAUGUCCUACUGUGUGCAACAUUAUCAAUUUUAUAACAGUUGUUGAGGGAACCUUCUGCUAUUUAAGGAGUAUGGUCAUGAGAUUCUAUCAAACAUUUUAGAAGCACACAGCAUUAGUGAGAUAAUUAGUGGACAAGGAACUGAGAAACUAUACUUUGAAACUUCAUUAGUUGUGUGACAUAUUCAUAAAUUGCCUGUUUUCAAAAGCAAAGCAGCUCUCCCCAUCUCAGUUCAGCAAUAUUUAAAAUCAUCUUCACAUUGCAUGAAAAUAAAAGUGAGCAGCAUGUGCGGCUAUUAAGCAAGAUAAUGUAUGGUCUAUUAUAUUUCCGUGAUGUAUGACAGUCAAGAAGAACAUGCCAUCAGUCAUGGCCGCACAUUUUAAUUGAUUAUAAAUGGCAUGACAAUUUGUGAAACUUCUGGCCCUUCACUCUCUGUCAUUUAGAUCAAGAGUUUCAAAAUUUUUUCUAAUGUAUUGCAUUUGAUCUGGAGGCAUAACUUUGUCAUUCUGACUUGUUAAGGGGAAGAAAAAAAGGAACAGCUGGCUUGGUCAUCAUUAUGUACAAAGUAGGCAGUUUUGUAAAUUAAUAUAAAGGGAGUAGCUAUCACCCGAAAGCACUUAAACUGACCAGGAUGCAAAAAAAAUGUGUUGGAUGAACACAGGACCUAUUGUGGUGACACAUUUUUUUAUUAAAGUAUAUCUUAGGAACAACUUCAGCAGUCGGGAUUAAUGCAAAAUUAUUUCCAUCUCAAUUGCCAUGUUUACCCUUCCCUGUCUCCAUCAUUAAUGCCUUGCUGUUAGCCAAGUUCCCCUUAAUUCAGCCCUUUAAGUAAUCAGUGGCUAAAAUUUUUUUAAAAUGCUGUACUUAAAGUGAUGAAUUUCCAGUGGAAGUGGUAAAUUUGAAAAGUAGGUCAGCGAGCAACAUUCACAGGCCCACUAGGAGUUAAAUUCUUGAAGUUGCAUUUUUGUAGAAUUUGCCAAAUGAUUAUUUAAAUGAUGAGAUUUCAGUGAAUGUUACAAAUCUAAUUAUAAUAUUACAACAUAGGAGAUUUACAUUAGUUGGAAAACUAACUAAUGAAUCUCUAGUUUGUGAAAUUUAAAUAUUGCUCUCAUAAAAAGAUUACUGUAUUGCCAGAUAUUCAGAGACCUCAUAAAUUCAAUGCAUUUGUGAAGGGAAAAAAAGAAACACUGCUUGCUUGAAUUCCUUUAAGUACGAAAAGCUAUGCUUAAAAGAAAAGCGUCAGCACUCACUGUAUUAAAGUAACUCACAUUCAGUCUGCUUUUAUUUAAAGACCAUGUGCUGUCCCAAAUUUCUGGUAUACAACUUAAAAAAAGUAUCAAACUGCAUUUAUGUUAAUGUUUCAAUAAAUUCAAAUUCUGAAUUAAAACUUUGAAUAUAUAAGUAUUGAAACAGCUGCCUUUAUAUGAUAGAUGACUCAAAUAAGUACCUCUAAAAAUUGUGGUUUGUCUGUCAUUGGACUGUGAAUAAUUCCUAUGUCUACUACUUUUAUACCACCAGAGAAAUCUGUCCACCAUUAGUCUGCUCAGAGUUUAGUCACAUCCAUUAAUGUCUGGAAUGGUAUGUUAUUAUUAGGUUACCAGGUGUUGGAUUCACACCACGACAAGACUGUUAGUGAUCACACCAGGAGUGGGCUGAUGCCAUCGCUAAGCAAAAGGACUGCUAACCCAGCACUCUUCAUCUCCUCGAGGGCAAUCAAGACUCUUAAUAAUUGAAUUAAAGCUGACAAAGUAUUGAAGCAAUGCACAGAAAAGGUCCUCUUAAAUCGCAGCUUGUUCAGUGUUGGGAACAUUAGUGAUUUGUAGCUACUAACCACUAGUCCACAGUCAGUCUGAGUAGCACGUACAUGUCAAAGGUCACAUUUACCCAAUAAAGUGCCUUAUAAAAGAAUUUUACCAGUCAUUUACUUCAAAACAUUUCACUUUAGGUUCCCUGCUGGCCCAGUGGGUAAAUAAAUUGUGUGAUGUGAUAUUGAAGCAUGCAGAUCAGGGUGGCUCCAGUUUUUAUCCCUGUUCUGUGCUGACCUGACAAAUCUGACUUGCUAUAGGGAAGCAAUGUGAAUUUCAGUCACUGGAUUAGAGAGGGGAUAAUCAGCAGAGCUCCUAUUCCUGAUCACUAUCAUAUGACUCCAGUUGGAAUGUAUGCAUUUGGAUGCCAGGUGAGUAUGGGAUUAGGCUCCACUGUGAUCUCUAUCAUAUAUAAAUGGUUUGCAAAUACUUAAUUUUGAUUUGGAGUAACUGUUGAACCCUCUAUGCUUUGUGCCCAUUACUUCCAUCAUUAAUAUUUUACAAAUGUUUACACAAACUGUGUUAGAAAACUCGGUAAAUCGCUUCAAAAGGUAGUUUGACUUACCAAUAAUGCACAUGAAACAGAAGCCAAAAUUAUUUUAGUUCCUGAAGAUUGGUCUAUGGCCAAACCUCUUAAUUGUUGCACAUGAAAAUAAACAAAAAAGAAUCAAACAAAAAAAGUGUAAUUUGUGUUAACAAGUCUAUGAUCAGAUUGUUCACAAUUUAUCAUGUUGUGCACUUUACCAAAAUUGAGUCAAUAUUAGAGUAAGGUGAAUGUUUAGCCAAUAUUUUUUGGAUUUUCUGCUUCUGUUAUGUCAGCAUCACAGACUAACAUCUGUAUUCCACCAAUUUUUUAUGAAUGUGGUUUAACAAUGUGAUAAUGACCAAGUAAUCUGUUUGCGUGAUGUUGACUGAGUGAUAUAAAUCGCUAGGACAGCAGGAAUAACUCUCCUACUCAUAUACCAAUAUUGCCAUGGGAUUACUUACAUCCACCUAUACAGGAGAUGGGAACCUCAGCGUACUGUAUUUUCUGAAAGACAGCACCCCUCUGACAGUCUAAUGUUCCCUUCGUACUGCACUGGAGUGUCAGCCUUGAUGUUUCAUUCUCAAACCCUAGACUGGGAUUUGAACACAGAUCCUUGUAUUGAGAGGCAGAAGGGCUGGCAAUAGAUGACAUUAUUAUCGACCCUGAAUGAAUUAAGUAAAACUGGCCACAUUUCAUAGAUACCAUAACCAUUGUUUGAAAUUGGAUGCUAUGGGAUCUAUAACUUGCAAAUUUGUGUGUGUUCUUCUGUCUUCCACACCUCUUCUUAACUGGCUAUAAUAGUUUUACUUCUAAGGAACUAAUUGACAUAAUAUUGGAUAUAUGAUAAUCUAUUCACUAUUAAUAGCAAUACUGUAAAUUGCUUCUCAGUUAUAUGCUUAUAAUUUAGAAAUCCUCCUACAAUAUUUCAAAAGUGGAUGAGUUAUGAAGGAUUAAAAAUGACUUGUUUUGACUAAAAUUAAAUGUCCUCUACCUAAAUCCUGUACUCGAUCGGCUUUGUCGUAACAGCUUACAAUUGACUGUACUUUCAGUGAAUGGUCAAUAAUCACAAAAAAAUCCUAUUGCUAAUUCAUUGCACAGUUUUUGUAAAAUUGUUUUGAUUAAGUCCUAGUUUGGUUGGCUCCUGAAAUCUCUCUGAAAUUUUAUGACACCACCCCUCUAAGAAGUGAUACUUGUACAUAUCCCAUUAGGGUUGGUUUGCCCAGAUAUAUAAUUAGAUUGUGACUUAUACCCCAUUGAUCUGAUUCACUUCAAACCUGUUUUGGUGAUUUAAACCCUUCCAGAUUUUUUAUGAUGUUGCCCCUUUAGAGAGAAGAACUUAUACAUAUCUUAAUGGGAGUGAAAGUAAUCUACAGACCUGCUGAUUGCCUAACAUGUUCGUUGUUUGUAGUAUGCUGUUUGUGACCAGCAGGCACCACAUGGUAUUUGCAUGCUAAAUUUUGCUGAUGUGACCCUGUUGAAAUGAUUCUGUUGUUAUAGAUUGUUCAGGACAUGAAAUGGUUUUGGCAAAAUUGAAGUCAACAUAAAAACUAUAUUUGGCAACAUAUUAAAUCAGUUGCUGAUUUGCUGUCACCCAGUUUGCACGACCACACAAGAUCAAUUUUUAAAAAUUAUUAUUCAUUCAUAGAGCGUUAGCUUGGUUCACUGGAGCAGCAGGGCAGCAUGGUGGCUCAGUGUUUCACUGCCAGGGACCCGGGUUCGAUUCUAGCCUUGAGCAACUCUGUGUGUAGAGUUUACACAUUCACCCUGUGUCUGCGUGGGUUUCCUCUGGGUGCUCUGGUUUCCACAGUCCAAAGAUGUGCAAGUUAAGUGGAUUGGCCAUGCUCAAUUACUGUUAGUGUCCAUAGAUGUGCAGGCUAGGUGGAUUAACCAUGGGAAAUGUAGGGUUAUAGGAAAAGGGUAAGGGUGGAUCUCAGUGGGAUGGUCUUCACAAGAGCAGUGUGGGGGCUGAAUGACCUGCUUCCACAGUGUAGCAUUUCUAUGAUUUAUUACCCAUCCUUAGUUGCUGUUAAGAAGGGAGUUUCAGAAUUUUAACCCAGCAACAGUGAAGGAAUGGCAAUAUAUUUCUAAGUCUGGAUGGUGUGUGGCUUGGAGGGGAACUAGCAGGUGAUGGUGGUGUUCCCAUAUACCUUUGUCCUUCUAGAUGGUGCCGAUUAUGAACUUAGUGAGUCUUCGUGGGUUGUGGCAGUGUGUCUUAUAGAUGGUACAUACUUCUGCUACUGAGACUUGGUGACAGAAGAACAUUUGUGACUGUUUGUGUGUGUGGUAUCAAUCAAUUGGACUGCUUUAUUCAGGAUAGGUGUAAUGUUUUGAGUAAUGUUUGAGCCAGAAUCAUCCAGGCAAGUGGGGGCUGUUCCAUUAUAUUCUGAAUGUGUGCCUUGUAGGUUGUGGACGUCUUUGAGGAGUCAGGAUUUAUGCAGUGCAGGAUUUCUCACCUUUGAGCUGCUUUUGUAACCGUACUACUUGUAUAUCUCAUCCAAUUCAGUUUAUGAUCAAUGAUAACCCCAAGUUGGUGAUAUUCAAGGAUUCAGCAAUGGUAAUAUUGUUGAAUGCCAAGGAGAAUAACAUUUAAAUUUCAAACCCUCUUUGAUGAAGCUAGUUUUGGUAGCCCAUGCUUCCUGACAUGUAAAUAAUGAAUGUGUUAGUUCCAAUUGGUGAGGUUUCAGCUUAACCACUUAUCUUUCUCAAAAAGGGACUUUACAUGUUGUCACUUGUUGAAUUCAAUUCAGGUUGAUUUCAGCCCAAUCCACAAACAAUAUUUCCUUACUUAUGUUGACCUUUUCUGCUGUGACGGGUGCUUCAUCUUUAAAUUUUAAGGGUGUCAUCACUCAUUCUUCUAGGGAGGCACAUUCUGAUGCGAAUAGGCUUAUUCCACUCUCUAGGUUCUCACUGCUCUUUCUUAAAAUCCUUAGAAGGCUGGAUACCUUUUGCGCCUGGAGUGCACUGUUUGAUCUUUUACCUUUUAAAUUGAUUUUGUUUUUAUUUUAAUAACUUUUUGUUUAAAAAGUUUGUAUUGAGCACCUCUGUCUGAGAUAUUACUGCUGUUGUCCUCCUAAGUGAUGGAGUUGAACCGUUCUAAUUUCAUAUUCCCAUCAGCCUGUCUCAAGACAUGACCUUUUCAUUCUGUGAAUAUUGUAUUUCUGUUUCUCUGUCCAUUUCCUUCAAACAUGUUUUACCUUAAGCUGUACUGAGCAACAAUAACAACUUGCAUUUACAGCUUACCUUUCAUAUCGUGAAAUAUCCCAAGAUGUUUCAGCAGAGCCUUUCUAGAUAAAAUUUGAUGCUGAGAACCUUGAGGGGAUAUUAGGACAGGUGAUUAAAAACUUGCUCAAAGAGACAGAUUUGAGAAAUGGAGAGAUGGAUAAGUUUUGUGCGAUAUUUCAGAGUUUAGAGCAAUGUUUUCUAAACUUCUCUGAUGUGAUCCAAUUUUAAUGGCUCAGACUUUAUGUGACCACUGGGAGGGUGUUCGUUUUAGCACUUGAGCGUUUGUCGGGGGUUUAGCUCCUGAGUGCUGUGAGGGGAGGAAGCUAUUUUACCUUCUUAUCUGGCAGACAGUCAGCAUGGUGGGAAUUGUUUAAAUUGUUGAAUUUAUUUUAAAAGAAAACAAUCUCUCGGCAGACAUUUUUUUGCAGGAGCAAUCUGGUUUCAAAAAACCUAUUCGGCCACACUCACCAUGAGGAAAAAGAUGCUAAAAUUUAAAAGGAUUUUGCAGUUAUUAGUAUUCGUUCCAACUCCAUAAAAGCCAUUGUUGCUUUGGAGCUCAGAACCCCAAAUUCCCAUCUCCCGUAUCACCCGGGACACAACCCACAGUUUGGGAAGCUUCAAUUUACAGCCUAAGCAUCUUUGAAGGAGAAAAUGGGAGUGCAUGAAGGCAAAAUUCAAAGGGCAUAGGAUUCUCAAAGGUCUUUACAAUGUUAGGAUGACCAAAGCUAAUUGAGAGUACAAGCUAAAUACUUCCACAACUCAAUUUUAUUGUUUCCUUGGGUUUAUAAAUAAAGGCAUAGAGUAAGGCAACGAAAUGAUGCUAUAUCUCCACAAAUCAUUGGUCACACCACAUUUGGAAUAUUGCGUUCAUUUCUGGGUUCCUUAUUUAAGGAAGAAUAUUAAAGCCCUGGUGAGAGUGCAAAGAAGAUUUACAAGAAUGAUGCUAGGAAUGAGGGAUUUUAGAUGCAAGGAAGGAUGAGAGAAAUUGUCUUAUUGUCCUCAGAACAGAGAAGAUUAAGAAGGUGGCCUUACUGCAGUGUUCAAAAUUAUGAACAAUUUUGACUGCACAAAGAAGAAUAUGCUGUUUCCACUAGUUGGUAUCUCAGUAACUAAUGGUCACAAUUUCAAAUCUGUCAGUGAGAAAGCUAGGAGUGAGUUGAGGAGAAACUUCCUUACUCAGAGAAUUGUUAGGAUUUGAAAUGUGCUGCUUGGAAGAGAGGUGGAGAUGAAUUCUACAAGAGAUUUCAAAAAGGAUGGCUAUAUAUUUUAAAGUGAUGAAUUUGGAGGGUGACAGAGAUAGGGCUGGAGAAUGGCAAGAGUUGGGUAGCUCUUUCGGGAGGUGAUACAGAUAUGAUAGGCUGAAUGGCCUCCUUUUGUACUGUAAAACUCUAUGAUUCUAUGAUUCUAAUUUCCCAAUUUACACUUGCAGCUACAGCAAAGCUGUCAGAACUAAAGCCUCACACAUAUUAUUUCUAUAGCUCAUGAAUUACAGAGGUUCUGAGCAGUAUCAGCUCAAUGAGUUCUUCUUAUAAGUGGUCUAUCUAUGUAGAAGAGGUCAGUUGUUUCUGCUACAAAUGGAGGAGAAGCAAUUCUAGAGUGCAUAAAACAAAACAGUAAUACUUGAAAAUGAAUGCACUGGCUAUUCUGGAACUCCAGUUUAAGAGGUACAAGAUGAGUCUGAUCAUUGUGUAUCAUUCAGAAGCUUUACUGUUUUGUUUCCUUCUGUGCAGGUAACUGCUCAGCCUUCAGCAUCUGGUUGCUGUGGUAGGGCCAGAGGCUUAGCAGUAGAGUCCCAGCUUUGCAUCUGUAUAAUAUAGCAAAACGUGGAUAAUAAAAAUGAAUGCUAGAAAACAUAAAUUAACUUACCCGUCCAGCCAUCUGUCAAAUAAGGUAUUUACUGCUGUGGCUAUUUGAAAUACUUGUGAAUAUUGUAAAGAUUAUUGUCAUUUAAAGAAUAAGCAAUAUCUUAACA